RNAcentral lists this long non-coding RNA (1319 nucleotides) under Homo sapiens (human). RNAcentral's name for it is "HSALNT0343521". The record is from RNAcentral. Lineage: Eukaryota; Metazoa; Chordata; Mammalia; Primates; Hominidae.
CCCAGUCUAAUCAUGAGAAUCCACCAGACAGACCCAAAUUGAGGGGGAUUCUACAAAAUACACGACCCGCACUCUUCUAAGGUGUCAAGGUCAUGAAAAACAAGACUGGAAAACCAACACAGACUGGAGGAGACUAAGAAGACCUGACAACUAAAUGCCAUGUGGGACCCUGGAGGGGACCCGGGAACAGUAGUAGAAGAGCUGGUGACAUCUGAAUGAAGUCUGUAAUUUGGGUAACAGUACUGUACCAAUGUUAAUUUCCCUGCUCUGCCAAUGCGAUGAGGGGCCCCUGCUGUAUGAAAUUGAAGAAAGAGUUGGACAACCAAGACACGUGAAGAGAGAGCAUGAGACUGGCUCCAGCACUCAGCAUUAGGAGAGCAUGGACUUCCUUCCAAUUGUGCCACCUUUCACAGACCUACCCUCAAGAAACCUUCAGCCUGAGUCCCUGUGUCAAAUGUCAAACUCUUGAGAAAGAGACUGAUAAGCUCAGCUCGAGGCCAGGAGAGAGAACCUGCUAUCUCUGGGGUCCAGAACAGAAGAGAUGAUGGCAAUGCACCUUGCAGGUGCAGUUUCCUUGGGGACCCCUGAACAAGGAGGUUGUUAUCUGGCCAUCUUCAUUCCCACCUUGUGGGAACUGGGUCCAGGGAACCAACACAAAUAAGCUGACAACUUGGCUACUGCUUUUGCUACUUGCAUCCCAGGGAUGAAACCAACGAGAACAAAGACACAACAUACCAGAAUCUCUGGGACACCUUCAAAGCAGUGUGUAGAGGGAAAUUUAUAGCACUAAAUGCCCACACGAGAAAGCAGGAAAGAUCCAAAAUUGACACCUUAACAUCACAAUUAAAAGAACUAGAAAAGCAAGAGCAAACACAUUCAAAAGCUAGCAGAAGGCAAGAAAUAACUAAAAUCAGAGCAGAACUGAAGGAAAUAGAGACAAAAAAAAACCCUUCAAAAAAUUAAUGAAUCCAGGAGCUGGUUUUUUGAAAACAUCAACAAAAUUGAUAGACCGCUAGCAAGACUAAUAAAGAAAAAAAGAGAGAAGAAUCAAAUAGACACAACAAAAAAUGAUAAGGGGGAUAUCACCACCGAUCCCACAGAAAUACAAACUACCAUCAGAGAAUACUACAAACACCUCUAUGCAAAUAAACUAGAAAAUCUAGAAGAAAUGGAUAAAUUCCUCGACACAUACACUCUCCCAAGACUAAACCAGGAAGAAGUUGAAUCUCUGAAUAGACCAAUAACAGGACCUGAAAUUGUGGCAAUAAUCAAUAGCUUACCAACCAAAAAGAGUCCAGGACCAGAUGGAUUCACAGCCG